This 989-nucleotide long non-coding RNA is filed under the name Homo sapiens (human). RNAcentral describes it as "HSALNT0337968". Lineage: Eukaryota; Metazoa; Chordata; Mammalia; Primates; Hominidae. The record is from RNAcentral.
ACUUGGAGGCAGGGGGCAUUCUUCGAAUUAUGCCCUUAAUGUAGCCACCUGUAAGACCAGCCCUGAGAGAUUCAGUCCUCUUUCCCUACUCAUCUGUUAAGUGUUUACUGAACUUCUACUAUUAGCCAGGCAUUGGUCUAGGAGCUAGAAACUUAUCAGCGCACAAAGAAGACAAACUGUCAACAAAUAGGAGAUAAACACUAGGUGAAUCUAUGAGCUGUUUAUAAGGGAAGAGCGGGAACAGUACUUAGAUAACGUGGUCAGGGAAGGUAUCACAGCAGGGGGGAAAUUUUGGCCUGAAGACUGGAAAAAAAAAACAAGCCAGCCAGGCAAAUCGCCAGAGGGAAUGCAAGCCAGGCAAACAGAACAGCAAGUGCAUAUUCCUGAGUGAGAAAGAAGCGGCCAUGCUUAAGGAGAGAAGGUGGCCACAUGGCAGAGUGCAAGACAGCAUGAAAUAGAUGAGCUCACCAAAAGAUCGUCAGGGACCAGACCAGCAUGUGCCUGGGCUUGGAGACAGGGAGGCAUGAAAAAAUUGGAGGCUACUUCGGCAACCUUCCUCAUGUGAUCUGGACCACGAUGGUGGAAGUAGAAACGGAUGCAUGGAUAAACAGAUACAACAUUUACUGCAAUUGCCAAAGAAGCUGCCCAUCACUGUCACGCCAGCUGCACAGUCUUCACUGAGGGAGCUUCCAAGUGCCAUUUUAUUAAUGUGGAGAGAAGAAUAACAGAUCAUAAAUGUUUGAGGUCUAUCCAGCCGGAGUACAGGGGAUUAUCUAUUAUCCUGUGAGCUCGUGUUUUAUUCAUCUUCGUGUUCCCGUGAAUUAUACAGUGCAAAAACUGCUUAGAAGGCUUCCCCUCCUAGACAGCCCAACAGCACCUCAACCUCAGCCGGAAUGAAACUGAAUGUGUUACUGCGCACCCAAACAGAGCUUCUCUUCCUGCUUUCUCUCUCCUGGCGCAGUGGCUCACACCUGUAAUCCCAGCACUUU